UCGGUAGACGCUACGGACUUAAAUCGUGAGGGUUCAAGUCCCUCUAUCCCC
This 51-nucleotide transfer RNA is filed under the name Amorphophallus angustispathus. RNAcentral describes it as "partial tRNA-Leu". The record is from RNAcentral. Lineage: Eukaryota; Viridiplantae; Streptophyta; Magnoliopsida; Alismatales; Araceae.